This 595-nucleotide ribosomal RNA is filed under the name fungal endophyte. Its description in RNAcentral is "eukaryotic LSU rRNA". The stretch from base 175 to 328 matches the Rfam family "5.8S ribosomal RNA". Lineage: Eukaryota; Fungi. The record is from RNAcentral.
UACUGAGUUUACGCUCUAUAACCCUUUGUGAACAUACCUAUAACUGUUGCUUCGGCGGGUAGGGUCUCCGCGACCCUCCCGGCCUCCCGCCUCCGGGCGGGUCGGCGCCCGCCGGAGGAUAACCAAACUCUGAUUUAACGACGUUUCUUCUGAGUGGUACAAGCAAAUAAUCAAAACUUUUAACAACGGAUCUCUUGGUUCUGGCAUCGAUGAAGAACGCAGCGAAAUGCGAUAAGUAAUGUGAAUUGCAGAAUUCAGUGAAUCAUCGAAUCUUUGAACGCACAUUGCGCCCGCCAGCAUUCUGGCGGGCAUGCCUGUUCGAGCGUCAUUUCAACCCUCAAGCUCUGCUUGGUGUUGGGGCCCUACAGCUGAUGUAGGCCCUCAAAGGUAGUGGCGGACCCUCCCGGAGCCUCCUUUGCGUAGUAACUUUACGUCUCGCACUGGGAUCCGGAGGGACUCUUGCCGUAAAACCCCCCAAUUUUCCAAAGGUUGACCUCGGAUCAGGUAGGAAUACCCGCUGAACUUAAGCAUAUCAAUAAGCGGAGGAAAAGAAACCAACAGGGAUUGCCUCAGUAACGGCGAGUGAAGCGGCAAC